UGGGGAAUAUUGGACAAUGGGCGCAAGCCUGAUCCAGCCAUGCCGCGUGAGUGAUGAAGGCCUUAGGGUUGUAAAGCUCUUUUGUCCGGGAAGAUAAUGACUGUACCGGAAGAAUAAGCCCCGGCUAACUUCGUGCCAGCAGCCGCGGUAAUACGAAGGGGGCUAGCGUUGCUCGGAAUCACUGGGCGUAAAGGGCGCGUAGGCGGACUUAUAAGUCGGGGGUGAAAGCCCAGGGCUCAACCCUGGAAUUGCCUUCGAUACUGGGAGUCUUGAGUUCGGAAGAGGUUGGUGGAACUGCGAGUGUAGAGGUGAAAUUCGUAGAUAUUCGCAAGAACACCGGUGGCGAAGGCGGCCAACUGGUCCGAAACUGACGCUGAGGCGCGAAAGCGUGGGGAGCAAACAGG
This 404-nucleotide ribosomal RNA is filed under the name Actinomycetes bacterium. Its description in RNAcentral is "Actinobacteria bacterium partial 16S ribosomal RNA". It matches the Rfam family "Bacterial small subunit ribosomal RNA", at positions 355 to 776 of the family's 1533-position model. Lineage: Bacteria; Bacillati; Actinomycetota; Actinomycetes. The record is from RNAcentral.